UCGACGAACUCUGGUAUUGAUUGGUGCUUGCAUCAUGAUUUACAUUUGAGUGAGUGGCGAACUGGUGAGUAACACGUGGGAAACCUGCCCAGAAGCGGGGGAUAACACCUGGAAACAGAUGCUAAUACCGCAUAACAACUUGGACCGCAUGGUCCGAGUUUGAAAGAUGGCUUCGGCUAUCACUUUUGGAUGGUCCCGCGGCGUAUUAGCUAGAUGGUGGGGUAACGGCUCACCAUGGCAAUGAUACGUAGCCGACCUGAGAGGGUAAUCGGCCACAUUGGGACUGAGACACGGCCCAAACUCCUACGGGAGGCAGCAGUAGGGAAUCUUCCACAAUGGACGAAAGUCUGAUGGAGCAACGCCGCGUGAGUGAAGAAGGGUUUCGGCUCGUAAAACUCUGUUGUUAAAGAAGAACAUAUCUGAGAGUAACUGUUCAGGUAUUGACGGUAUUUAACCAGAAAGCCACGGCUAACUACGUGCCAGCAGCCGCGGUAAUACGUAGGUGGCAAGCGUUGUCCGGAUUUAUUGGGCGUAAAGCGAGCGCAGGCGGUUUUUUAAGUCUGAUGUGAAAGCCUUCGGCUCAACCGAAGAAGUGCAUCGGAAACUGGGAAACUUGAGUGCAGAAGAGGACAGUGGAACUCCAUGUGUAGCGGUGAAAUGCGUAGAUAUAUGGAAGAACACCAGUGGCGAAGGCGGCUGUCUGGUCU
This 707-nucleotide ribosomal RNA is filed under the name Lactiplantibacillus pentosus. RNAcentral's name for it is "bacterial SSU rRNA". It matches the Rfam family "Bacterial small subunit ribosomal RNA", at positions 62 to 735 of the family's 1533-position model. Lineage: Bacteria; Bacillati; Bacillota; Bacilli; Lactobacillales; Lactobacillaceae. The record is from RNAcentral.